This 490-nucleotide ribosomal RNA is filed under the name uncultured bacterium. RNAcentral describes it as "partial 16S ribosomal RNA". It matches the Rfam family "Bacterial small subunit ribosomal RNA", at positions 30 to 523 of the family's 1533-position model. The record is from RNAcentral.
AUUGAACGCUGGCGGCAUGCUUUACACAUGCAAGUCGAACGAGGGUAGCAAUACCUUAGUGGCGAACGGGUGAGUAAUAUAUCGGAACGUACCCUAGAGUGGGGGACAACCAGUCGAAAGACUGGAUAAUACCGCAUACGAUCUACGGAUGAAAGUGGGGGACCGCAAGGCCUCACGCUCCUGGAGCGGCCGAUAUCUGAUUAGCUAGUUGGUAGGGUAAAAGCCUACCAAGGCAUCGAUCAGUAGCUGGUGUGAGAGGACGAUCAGCCACACUGGGACUGAGACACGGCCCAGACUCCUACGGGAGGCAGCAGUGGGGAAUUUUGGACAAUGGGGGAAACCCUGAUCCAGCAAUGCCGCGUGGGUGAAGAAGGCCUUCGGGUUGUAAAGCUCUUUUGUCAGGGAAGAAAAGGCUAUGGCUAAUAUCCAUGGCUGAUGACGGUACCUGAAGAAUAAGCACCGGCUAACUACGUGCCAGCAGCCGCCGUAA